RNAcentral lists this small nuclear RNA (296 nucleotides) under Peromyscus maniculatus bairdii (prairie deer mouse). Its description in RNAcentral is "7SK RNA (ENSPEMG00000003655.2)". It matches the Rfam family "7SK RNA". From Rfam's summary of the family: 7SK was discovered as an abundant small nuclear RNA in the mid-70s but a possible function has only recently been suggested. Two independent studies have found that 7SK RNA binds the CDK9/cyclin T complex (known as elongation factor P-TEFb). Lineage: Eukaryota; Metazoa; Chordata; Mammalia; Rodentia; Cricetidae. The record is from Rfam by way of RNAcentral.
GGAUGUGAGGGUGGAUAUGGCUGCAACAUCUGUCACCCCAUUAAUUGCCAGGCUUGAUUCUGCUGAUAUGGCUGGCUAAGCAGGUGUCCCCUUCCUUCCUCACUGAUCCAUAUGUGUCCUUCCUGAAGCUGCUCACUUAGUCAAAGAGAACGACCUUCCCCAAAUAGGGGAAGACCAGUCUUCCCUCAAGGGUGUAAGGAGUAGCUGUGCUCCCCUACUAGAACCUCUAAACAAGCUCUCAAGGUCCAUUUGUAGGAGAAUAUAGGGUAGACAAAAUAUCUUUUAAAACCUUCAUU